GGUCGAGAAUGUGAGUCAGAGGUAAUGCAGGGCUCAGAAAGGAGUAGCAGGCUUCCUCAUCCAUUGAAUAAGAAGGAUAAUAGCCAGUCUAUUACUAGUCACGGCAGGAUGGUUGAUGUUAAAGACUUGUUGAAUGUCAUGAAGCGACAAAACGAGAUUACAGAGCUCCUAGUAAAACAACAGAAAGCAUCCACUCUCCCUCCUUUGGAUGUUCCAGUAUUCAGUGGGGAUCCACUGGAGUUUGGGUUUUUUAUGAAAGCAUUCGAGCAUGGGAUUGAGGAAAGGACAGACAGCAAUAGAGAUAGGUUGCGCUUCCUGGAGCAGUUCACCCAAGGGAGACCCAAGGUUCUUGUUCGUAGCUGUUCGCACAUGCAUCCUGACAGGGGCUACGCUGAAGCCAAGAGGCUUCUGCGCAAGCAUUUUGGGGAUGAAUAUACUAUUGCCUCAGCCUACAUUGAAAGAGCUCUAAAAUGGCCUGUAAUCAAGCCAGAGGAUGGUGAUGAACUGACGGAGUUUGCUAUGUUCCUCACUAGUUGCUGUAACACAGUAGACAGCAUGGAGUACAUUGAGGAGAUGGAUAGCCCUACUAAUAUGAGAACAGUCAUCUCCAAGCUUCCUUUUAAAUUAAGGGAAAGGUGGAGGGGUUUCGCCUGUGACAUUCAAGAACGUACAGCAAUGAGAGCUAGAUUCGCUGAUCUGGUCAGUUUUGUGGAGAAGCAGGCAAAGAUCGCUUCUCACCCAUUGUUUGGUAACAUUCAGGACACCACUUUGUCAAGAGACAAGGGCAAAGCAAAGGUAUGCAAAGAGAAUGCUCUGAAAUUCAAGGAGAGGGAAAGCAUCUUUGCUACUAAUACGGCACCUGUGUCAAACAGUGCGGAGCAGACAAAGAGGGAAAGGGAAAAUGUAGGCUCUACAGGUGGAAGACAUUGUCUUUUCUGUCAUAAGGGAGGACAUAACCUCAGUACCUGCAGACUCCUCAAGCAAAAGCCUCACAGAGAAAGGCUUGAUUUCCUCAAAUCAAAGAGCUUGUGUUUUGGUUGCCUGUCACAGGGGCAUCUGAGCAAAGGCUGCCAGCAAAGACACACGUGUGAGACUUGUUCUCAGAAACAUCCCACCAUUCUGCAUAAGGAGCAGUACUCUUCUCCUGAUAGUGAUGGUAAAAGUAUCAGAGAACCAGCAGCAAGUUUUUCUCCAGCAGCAGGCAGUGAAACAUGCGGU
RNAcentral lists this long non-coding RNA (1218 nucleotides) under Oreochromis niloticus (Nile tilapia). RNAcentral describes it as "lncRNA (ENSONIG00000039757.1)". Lineage: Eukaryota; Metazoa; Chordata; Actinopteri; Cichliformes; Cichlidae. The record is from RNAcentral.